RNAcentral lists this ribosomal RNA (497 nucleotides) under uncultured bacterium. RNAcentral's name for it is "partial 16S ribosomal RNA". It matches the Rfam family "Bacterial small subunit ribosomal RNA", at positions 28 to 507 of the family's 1533-position model. The record is from RNAcentral.
GAUGAACGCUGGCGGCGUGCCUAAUACAUGCAAGUCGAGCGAACAGACGAGGAGCUUGCUCCUCUGACGUUAGCGGCGGACGGGUGAGUAACACGUGUAUAACCUACCUAUAAGACUGGGAUAACUUCGGGAAACCGGAGCUAAUACCGGAGAAUAUAUUGAACCGCAUGGUUCAAUAGUGAGAGACGGUUUUGCUGUCACUUAUAGAUGGUUCCGGGCCGUAUGAGCUGGUUGGUAAGGUAACGGCUUACCACGGCGACGAGGCGUAGCCGACCUGCGAGGUGGAUCGGCCACACUGGAAGUGAGACACGGUCCAGAGUCCUACGGGAGGCAGCAGUAGGGAAUCUUCCGCAAUGGGCGAAAGCCUGACGGAGCAACGCCGCGUGAGUGAUGAAGGUCUUCGGAUCGUAAAACUCUGUUAUGAGGGAAGAACAAAUGUGUAAGUAACUAUGCACGUCUUGACGGUACCUAAUCAGAAAGCCACGGCUAACUACGUG